This 168-nucleotide unclassified non-coding RNA is filed under the name uncultured Ascomycota. Its description in RNAcentral is "sequence contains ITS1". The record is from RNAcentral. Lineage: Eukaryota; Fungi; Ascomycota.
CAAGAGUUGCAAAACUCCCAAACCCACUGUGAACCUACCUGUUUUGUUGCUUCGGCGGGCAGCCCCAGGGCGGGGCCGCGCCUGGGAAUGUCCCGGGUGUCCGCCGAAGGUUUCUAAAACUCGUACAUUUUAGUUGUCUUCUGAGCUUUGCACAAGCAAAAUAAGUCA